UACGGAGGGUGCAAGCGCUAUCCGGAUUUACUGGGUUUAAAGGGUGCGUAGGUGGGUCUGUAAGUCAGUGGUGAAAUCUCCGAGCUUAACUCGGAAACUGCCAUUGAUACUAUAGGUCUUGAAUUAUCUGGAGGUGAGCGGAAUAUGUCAUGUAGCGGUGAAAUGCUUAGAUAUGACAUAGAGCACCAAUUGCGAAGGCAGCUCACUACGGAUAUAUUGACACUGAGGCACGAAAGCGUGGGGAUCAAACAGG
This 253-nucleotide ribosomal RNA is filed under the name uncultured bacterium. RNAcentral describes it as "partial 16S ribosomal RNA". It matches the Rfam family "Bacterial small subunit ribosomal RNA", at positions 524 to 776 of the family's 1533-position model. The record is from RNAcentral.